AAGCCUAAGUACUCGUGCAUCACCGAUAGCGAACCAGUACCGUGAGGGAAAGGUGAAAAGUACCCCGGGAGGGGAGUGAAAGAGUUCCUGAAACCGGUCGCAUGCAAGCCGUCAGAGCCUGUGUGGUGAUGGCGUGCCUUUUGAAGAAUGAGCCUACGAGUUAUGGUGUGUGGCAAGGUUAACCCGUGAGGGGAAGCCGGAGCGAAA
This 207-nucleotide ribosomal RNA is filed under the name Oxyrrhis marina. Its description in RNAcentral is "partial Bacterial large subunit ribosomal RNA". It matches the Rfam family "Bacterial large subunit ribosomal RNA", at positions 462 to 676 of the family's 2925-position model. Lineage: Eukaryota; Dinophyceae; Oxyrrhinales; Oxyrrhinaceae. The record is from RNAcentral.